Molecule: ribosomal RNA, 228 nt
Filed under: uncultured bacterium
Lineage: Bacteria
Description: partial 16S ribosomal RNA
Rfam family: Bacterial small subunit ribosomal RNA
Source: RNAcentral
UGCGUAGGCGGCCUGACAAGUCAGAGGUGAAAGGCUACGGCUUAACCGUAGUAAGCCUUUGAAACUGACAGGCUUGAGUGCAGGAGAGGAAAGUGGAAUUCCUAGUGUAGCGGUGAAAUGCGUAGAUAUUAGGAGGAACACUAGUGGCGAAGGCGACUUUCUGGACUGUAACUGACGCUGAGGCACGAAAGCGUGGGGAGCGAACAGGAUUAGAUACCCUGGUAGUCC